AUUGAACGCUGGCGGAAUGCUUUACGCAUGCAAGUCGAACGGCAGCACGGACUUCGGUCUGGUGGCGAGUGGCGAACGGGUGAGUAAUGUAUCGGAACGUGCCCAGUCGUGGGGGAUAACGUAGUGAAAAUUACGCUAAUACCGCAUACGAUCUAUGGAUGAAAGCGGGGGAUCGCAAGACCUCGCGCGAUUGGAGCGGCCGAUAUCAGAUUAGGUAGUUGGUGGGGUAAAGGCCCACCAAGCCAACGAUCUGUAGCUGGUAUGAGAGGACGACCAGCCACACUGGAACUGAGACACGGUCCAGACUCCUACGGGAGGCAGCAGUGGGGAAUUUUGGACAAUGGGCGAAAGCCUGAUCCAGCCAUUCCGCGUGCAGGAUGAAGGCCCUCGGGUUGUAAACUGCUUUUGUACAGAACGAAAAGGUUUCUACUAAUACUAGGAGCUCAUGACGGUACUGUAAGAAUAAGCACCGGCUAACUACGUGCCAGCAGCCGCAGUAA
RNAcentral lists this ribosomal RNA (500 nucleotides) under uncultured bacterium. RNAcentral's name for it is "partial 16S ribosomal RNA". It matches the Rfam family "Bacterial small subunit ribosomal RNA", at positions 30 to 523 of the family's 1533-position model. The record is from RNAcentral.